Molecule: long non-coding RNA, 444 nt
Filed under: Nicotiana benthamiana
Lineage: Eukaryota; Viridiplantae; Streptophyta; Magnoliopsida; Solanales; Solanaceae
Description: long non-coding RNA (NBEN_LNC009875)
Source: RNAcentral
ACUACAAACUUAAACUACAUAUAACUAAAAAUCCAUAUAACUACAUUUUCAUAUAACUACAUUUAAAUACAGUAUAACUACAAAUUCCCAUUAGGUGAUUUCGAGUACUACAUUUAGAACACACUUACAGUACAUUAUAACUACAAUUUGCCAACAGUUUACGUUAUAAAGAAUUGAUGCUUACAUAGAACACAUAAAAAUGUAAAUAGUGCCAACAGUCAAAUAUAUGAUUAUACUUCUUUAUUAUCGCCAAAACGUAGAACAGUUACACACUAAAUUCCGAUAAUUUGGGAUCACUAACAUGUAUUUUGAAUAACUAUUCUAGCUACAUUAUAUUCAUUUUUUUUUCGGCGCAUUCUUGCAAGUUCUUUUGUUAUGCCCUUCACCUCCACAAUUGCCACAUGACACCUUGUACUUCUUUGAGUUUAUUUCAUCAAAUGUNNN